RNAcentral lists this ribosomal RNA (433 nucleotides) under uncultured bacterium. RNAcentral's name for it is "bacterial SSU rRNA". It matches the Rfam family "Bacterial small subunit ribosomal RNA", at positions 29 to 507 of the family's 1533-position model. The record is from RNAcentral.
AACGAACGCUGGCGGCAUGCCUAACACAUGCAAGUCGAACGAAGGCUUCGGCCUUAGUGGCGCACGGGUGCGUAACGCGUGGGAAUCUGCCCUUGGGUUCGGAAUAACAGUGAGAAAUUACUGCUAAUACCGGAUGAUGACUUCGGUCCAAAGAUUUAUCGCCCAAGGAUGAGCCCGCGUAAGAUUAGCUAGUUGGUGAGGUAAAGGCUCACCAAGGCGACGAUCUUUAGCUGGUCUGAGAGGAUGAUCAGCCACACUGGGACUGAGACACGGCCCAGACUCCUACGGGAGGCAGCAGUGGGGAAUAUUGGACAAUGGGCGAAAGCCUGAUCCAGCAAUGCCGCGUGAGUGAUGAAGGCCUUAGGGUUGUAAAGCUCUUUUACCAGGGAUGAUAAUGACAGUACCUGGAGAAUAAGCUCCGGCUAACUCCGUG